RNAcentral lists this long non-coding RNA (367 nucleotides) under Chloebia gouldiae (Gouldian finch). Its description in RNAcentral is "Erythrura gouldiae (Gouldian finch) lncRNA (ENSEGOG00005010562.1)". Lineage: Eukaryota; Metazoa; Chordata; Aves; Passeriformes; Passeridae. The record is from RNAcentral.
GUAACACGGAGCAGCACAAUGAAUCAGUAUUAGCCCCGGUGCAGCUGCGAGAGGGAAAAUCAGGUUAUUCAGCCAACCCACAAGGAAGAGAAGGGAUGCCUCAUGCAUAUGAAACCCCUCUGUCUCCAGUCUUCAAGCAAUUAACAAGCAGCAUUAAUGAACUUCUGAGUGAAGCAGCCCUUCCUGUCUGGAACGGUGGUGGUUUUAACAGUGGCAGGAGGGAAAUGCUGGAGAAGGCAACAUGGCAAUCAUUAGCAACAGGAAUGGGAUAUGCACUGGUGAAAACCAUUCACUCUAAGGAGCAGGAUCAAUCUGCCCUUCUUUUCAGGACUGCUGAAUAGCCACUGCUCCUGAACACUGGCAGCUC